AACAGCCGUCGCCCCCGCGAAGGCGGGGGCCGCCGUCGUUUUACGCAGCGGCGCAGGAACAGGCCUCCAGCGGCCCCCGCCUUCGCGGGGGCGACGAGUUAU
Molecule: microRNA precursor, 102 nt
Filed under: Sphingopyxis panaciterrulae
Lineage: Bacteria; Pseudomonadati; Pseudomonadota; Alphaproteobacteria; Sphingomonadales; Sphingopyxidaceae
Description: microRNA MIR1846
Source: RNAcentral